AGAAAGAUAACAUCUUUCUUAUCUUCUUUCUUUUCAUGUCAAACAAAGAGGGGAAAGAAAAAAAUUCUUCCAUCUUUUUCCUUCAAAUUCAAGUUUAAGCUAAAAACGAAGCGAACAUCUUGAAGGAGAAAGGCGAAGAAAAGGAGCAGAGCAAUUAAAAUUUUGGUAGUUAGAUUCGUUAGAUCGUUUCAGCAACAUUCGAAGAACCGAAGCUCAGUUUAAAUAAUGUUAGUGAAGAGUUUACUUUAUAGUUGAUGUAAAUGGCAUGUACCUAGACUUAUAAAUAUAUAAUAUUAUGUCGUAAACUGAAUUUAAAUAUUUUC
Molecule: long non-coding RNA, 323 nt
Organism: Gossypium arboreum
Lineage: Eukaryota; Viridiplantae; Streptophyta; Magnoliopsida; Malvales; Malvaceae
Exons: 3
Source: RefSeq, a predicted model, not a curated record